RNAcentral lists this ribosomal RNA (440 nucleotides) under uncultured bacterium. RNAcentral describes it as "bacterial SSU rRNA". It matches the Rfam family "Bacterial small subunit ribosomal RNA", at positions 338 to 795 of the family's 1533-position model. The record is from RNAcentral.
CCUACGGGAUGCAGCAGUGGGGAAUAUUGGACAAUGGGCGAAAGCCUGAUCCAGCAAUGCCGCGUGAGUGAUGAAGGCCUUAGGGUUGUAAAGCUCUUUUACCCGGGAUGAUAAUGACAGUACCGGGAGAAUAAGCCCCGGCUAACUCCGUGCCAGCAGCCGCGGUAAUACGAAGGGGGCUAGCGUUGUUCGGAAUUACUGGGCGUAAAGCGCGCGUAGGCGGAUAGAUAAGUCAGAGGUGAAAUCCCGGGGCUCAACCCCGGAAUUGCCUUUGAUACUGUUUAUCUUGAGUGCAGAGGAGGUAAGUGGAAUUCCGAGUGUAGAGGUGAAAUUCGUAGAUAUUCGGAGGAACACCAGUGGCGAAGGCGGCUUACUGGUCUGCAACUGACGCUGAGGCGCGAAAGCGUGGGGAGCAAACAGGAUUAGAUACCCUCGUAGUC